RNAcentral lists this ribosomal RNA (251 nucleotides) under uncultured bacterium. RNAcentral describes it as "partial 16S ribosomal RNA". It matches the Rfam family "Bacterial small subunit ribosomal RNA", at positions 524 to 776 of the family's 1533-position model. The record is from RNAcentral.
UACGUAGGUGGCAAGCGUUGUCCGGAAUUAUUGGGCGUAAAGCGCGCGCAGGCGGCCUCUUAAGUCUGAUGUGAAAGCCCCCGGCUCAACCGGGGAGGGCCAUUGGAAACUGGGAGGCUUGAGUAUAGGAGAGAAGAGUGGAAUUCCACGUGUAGCGGUGAAAUGCGUAGAGAUGUGGAGGAACACCAGUGGCGAAGGCGACUCUUUGGCCUAUAACUGACGCUGAGGCGCGAAAGCGUGGGAGCAACAGG